GACGAACGCUGGCGGCGUGCUUAACACAUGCAAGUCGAGCGGAAAGGCCCUGAUUUUGUUGCGCUCACGAUUGCCGCACGGGUGUGUAACACGUGAGUAUCCUGCCCUUGUCUGUGGGAUAAAUUUUGGAGAAAGCGGCUAUUAUAGGGUAGGAGAUACUGCUGCACGGUGUGGGAUGGUAAGAUUCGGCGGUUGGGGAUGGACUCGCGGCUUAUCCGCCUGUUGGUGGGGUUGGUGCUUACCAGGGCUUUGACGGGUAGCCGGCCUGAGAGGGUGGACGGCCACAUUGGGACUGAGAGACGGCCCAGACUACUACGGGAGGCAGCAGGGGGGAAUAUUGCACAAUGGGCGGAAGCCUGAGGCAGCAACGCCGCGUGCGGGAUGACGUCCUUCGGGUUGUAAACCGCUUUCGGCUGUGACGAAGCGUGAUUGACGGUAAUGGGUAAAGAAGCACCGGCUAACUACGUG
Molecule: ribosomal RNA, 468 nt
Filed under: uncultured bacterium
Lineage: Bacteria
Description: partial 16S ribosomal RNA
Rfam family: Bacterial small subunit ribosomal RNA
Source: RNAcentral